GUGGAGCUAGAGCUUGCAGAAUCAACAGAUAGCUUUGGGCGACUACAGCCCUGAAAAGGCUGGCGUCGGCGGUUCAACUCCGUCCCUGGCCACCA
Molecule: transfer RNA, 95 nt
Filed under: Terriglobia bacterium
Lineage: Bacteria; Pseudomonadati; Acidobacteriota; Terriglobia
Description: tRNA-OTHER
Source: RNAcentral